Molecule: non-coding RNA, 125 nt
Organism: Brachypodium distachyon (stiff brome)
Lineage: Eukaryota; Viridiplantae; Streptophyta; Magnoliopsida; Poales; Poaceae
Source: Rfam
CAUCUACUCCCUCCGACCCAUAUUAAUUGUCUCAAAUUUUCCCAGAUAUGGAUGUAUCUAUGCCUAAAAAGCGUCUAGAUACAUGUAAUAUUUCGACAAUUAAUAUGGAUCGGAGGGAGUAAGAA